AUCCAGACUUUGAUUCUGGCUCAGGAUGAACGCUAGCUACAGGCCUAACACAUGCAAGUCGAGGGGAAACGACAUCGAAAGCUUGCUUUUGAUGGGCGUCGACCGGCGCACGGGUGAGUAACGCGUAUCCAACCUGCCCAUCACUUGGGGAUAACCUUGCGAAAGUAAGACUAAUACCCAAUGACGUCUCUAGAAGACAUCUGAAAGAGAUUAAAGAUUUAUCGGUGAUGGAUGGGGAUGCGUCUGAUUAGCUUGUUGGCGGGGUAACGGCCCACCAAGGCAACGAUCAGUAGGGGUUCUGAGAGGGAGGUCCCCCACAUUGGAACUGAGACACGGUCCAAACUCCUACGGGAGGCAGCAGUGAGGAAUAUUGGUCAAUGGGCGAGAGCCUGAACCAGCCAAGUAGCGUGCAGGAUGACGGCCCUAUGGGUUGUAAACUGCUUUUAUAAGGGAAUAAAGUGAGUCUCGUGAGACUUUUUGCAUGUACCUUAUGAAUAAGGACCGGCUAAUUCCGUGCCAGCAGCCGCGGUAAUACGGAAGGUCCGGGCGUUAUCCGGAUUUAUUGGGUUUAAAGGGAGCGUAGGCCGGAGAUUAAGCGUGUUGUGAAAUGUAGACGCUCAACGUCUGCACUGCAGCGCGAACUGGUUUCCUUGAGUACGCACAAAGUGGGCGGAAUUCGUGGUGUAGCGGUGAAAUGCUUAGAUAUCACGAAGAACUCCGAUUGCGAAGGCAGCUCACUGGAGCGCAACUGACGCUGAAGCUCGAAAGUGCGGGUAUCGAACAGGAUUAGAUACCCUGGUAGUCCGCACGGUAAACGAUGGAUGCCCGCUGUUGGUCUGAAUAGGUCAGCGGCCAAGCGAAAGCAUUAAGCAUCCCACCUGGGGAGUACGCCGGCAACGGUGCAACUCAAAGGAAUUGACGGA
This 923-nucleotide ribosomal RNA is filed under the name uncultured Bacteroidota bacterium. Its description in RNAcentral is "bacterial SSU rRNA". It matches the Rfam family "Bacterial small subunit ribosomal RNA", at positions 1 to 917 of the family's 1533-position model. Lineage: Bacteria; Pseudomonadati; Bacteroidota. The record is from RNAcentral.